AAAUUGAAGAGUUUGAUCAUGGCUCAGAUUGAACGCUGGCGGCAGGCCUAACACAUGCAAGUCGAACGGUAACAGGAAGCAGCUUGCUGCUUCGCUGACGAGUGGCGGACGGGUGAGUAAUGUCUGGGAAACUGCCUGAUGGAGGGGGAUAACUACUGGAAACGGUAGCUAAUACCGCAUAACGUCGCAAGACCAAAGAGGGGGACCUUCGGGCCUCUUGCCAUCGGAUGUGCCCAGAUGGGAUUAGCUUGUUGGUGGGGUAACGGCUCACCAAGGCGACGAUCCCUAGCUGGUCUGAGAGGAUGACCAGCCACACUGGAACUGAGACACGGUCCAGACUCCUACGGGAGGCAGCAGUGGGGAAUAUUGCACAAUGGGCGCAAGCCUGAUGCAGCCAUGCCGCGUGUAUGAAGAAGGCCUUCGGGUUGUAAAGUACUUUCAGCGGGGAGGAA
Molecule: ribosomal RNA, 452 nt
Filed under: Escherichia coli
Lineage: Bacteria; Pseudomonadati; Pseudomonadota; Gammaproteobacteria; Enterobacterales; Enterobacteriaceae
Also listed under: 2 other names
Description: bacterial SSU rRNA
Rfam family: Bacterial small subunit ribosomal RNA
Source: RNAcentral